Pteronotus mesoamericanus is the source of this 1010-nucleotide long non-coding RNA. RefSeq lists it as uncharacterized. The transcript is spliced from 2 exons. NCBI's taxonomy places the organism in Eukaryota, Metazoa, Chordata, Mammalia, Chiroptera, Mormoopidae. The record is from RefSeq and is a predicted model, not a curated record.
GCUGAACAAUCAAUAGGCAGAAAGCAAGAUAGAGGCUUCCUCAGCUUUUGGAUCGACAAUCGACAGCUGAGAGACUAUUUUUUGCUAUGGUUGACUAAAUAUGGUCAGGGAAGAGACAGGCACAAGAGAGCCUGUUUGCCUGGGAGUGCAUGUUUCAAAUGCUUAGCUGCCUAUAAAGCUGUAACAGUUUAGCCUGUGACCACUGAGGGAAGAUUUAAGUUAACCUCUGUAGUGACCAUGUGGAAAUCCUGACCUUGCUUGCAGACUUGACCUCUGGAUAUGACAAGGUAGCUUCAAUACAGAUUUACCAUUUAAUCCUGGAAACUAAAAACCAAAAAAAAAUUUCACAGCAAGAAAGAUGCAGCAGAAUUAUUUCCUGAGAAGUCGGAAGAAUCCAAUUUAUUCUGGUGGGCAAAGGAAAAUAGUGUGAAUGUUUAUAGUUACUUGGGAGGAGUAAGGUGUGUGUUAUUUCUUUGGCUUUUUGGCUUUUUGAAAUUAUAAAUUAACUUGCUCUGCAACUUUUCCCCCUCUUCCGAAGCAUUUCAUCUGAGAAAUAAGCGAGGUAGCAAUCUUCCUUGUUUGCUUAACUUUCUGUACAGCAGACACAAGGUACGCGUAUCUGUGCAAUACUGGUAAUAUAACAUUCCAAAUCAAAUAGCCAAUGUUGAUUCAAUUUUACUGUGUUUUUUUUUUUUUCUUUGUAAGGGUAAGGGAAGGGAGAGGUAAAAGCUGGCUGAUUUAUUUUUGUUCAUUUGUUUUUCAAAUUUAUCUUAAAAGGAGAGACUCUGUUCACUGACUUCCCCCUUACUUCACCUCACCGGCUCAUGAAAAGAAGUGCUGAAUCAGCAGAUAGAGUGAAGGAACAAUCAAGAUGAGAUGGCUGCUGCUGAUGUGACUCUCUAGGUCCUUAUCUCUCUUCCUGCUGCAAAUGCUGCAUGACACUAAGUUUACAGGAUCUAGAAGCAAACUACAAAAUAAGAAGAAAUUCAUCCUGAAAACUGAAGAAAAAC